AUUGAACGCUGGCGGCAGGCCUAACACAUGCAAGUCGAGCGGAUGAAGGGAGCUUGCUCCUGGAUUCAGCGGCGGACGGGUGAGUAAUGCCUAGGAAUCUGCCUGGUAGUGGGGGAUAACGUCCGGAAACGGGCGCUAAUACCGCAUACGUCCUGAGGGAGAAAGUGGGGGAUCUUCGGACCUCACGCUAUCAGAUGAGCCAAGGUCGGAUUAGCUAGUUGGUGGGGUAAGGGCCUACCAAGGCGACGAUCCGUAACUGGUCUGAGAGGAUGAUCAGUCACACUGGAACUGAGACACGGUCCAGACUCCUACGGGAGGCAGCAGUGGGGAAUAUUGGACAAUGGGCGAAAGCCUGAUCCAGCCAUGCCGCGUGUGUGAAGAAGGUCUUCGGAUUGUAAAGCACUUUAAGUUGGGAGGAAGGGCAGUAAGUUAAUACCUUGCUGUUUUGACGUUACCAACAGAAUAAGCACCGGCUAACUUCGUG
RNAcentral lists this ribosomal RNA (484 nucleotides) under uncultured bacterium. RNAcentral's name for it is "partial 16S ribosomal RNA". It matches the Rfam family "Bacterial small subunit ribosomal RNA", at positions 30 to 507 of the family's 1533-position model. The record is from RNAcentral.